Molecule: ribosomal RNA, 492 nt
Filed under: uncultured bacterium
Lineage: Bacteria
Description: partial 16S ribosomal RNA
Rfam family: Bacterial small subunit ribosomal RNA
Source: RNAcentral
AGUGAACGCUGGCGGUAGGCCUAACACAUGCAAGUCGAACGGCAGCACAGUAAUAGCUUGCUCUUACGGGUGGCGAGUGGCGGACGGGUGAGGAAUACAUCGGAAUCUACUUUUUCGUGGGGGAUAACGUAGGGAAACUUACGCUAAUACCGCAUACGACCUACGGGUGAAAGCAGGGGAUCUUCGGACCUUGCGCGAUUGAAUGCGCCGAUGUCGGAUUAGCUAGUUGGCGGGGUAAAGGCCCACCAAGGCGACGAUCCGUCGCUGGUCUGAGAGGAUGAUGCGGCACACUGGAACUGAGACACGGUCCAGACUCCGACGGGAGGCAGCAGUGGGGAAUAUUGGACAAUGGGCGCAAGACUGAUCCAGCCAUACCGCGUGGGUGAAGAAGGCCUUCGGGUUGUAAAGCCCUUUUGUUGGGAAAGAAAAGCAGCAGGUUAAUACCCCGCUGUUCUGACGGUACCCAAAGAAUAAGCACCGGCUAACUUCGUG